Molecule: ribosomal RNA, 3241 nt
Filed under: Musa schizocarpa
Lineage: Eukaryota; Viridiplantae; Streptophyta; Magnoliopsida; Zingiberales; Musaceae
Description: eukaryotic LSU rRNA
Rfam family: Eukaryotic large subunit ribosomal RNA
Source: RNAcentral
GACCCCAGGUCAGGUGGGGCUACCCGGCCGAGUUUAAGCAUAUAAAUAAGCCGGAGGAGAAGAAACUUACGAGGAUUCCCUUAGUAACGGUGAGCGAAACCGGAUCAGCCCAGCUUUUGAGAAUCGGGCGGCGCUCGUCGUCUGAAUUGUAGUCCGGAGAAGCGCCCUCAGCGACGGACCGGCCCAAGUCCCCGAAAGGGCGGGGUGGUGAGAGCCCGUCCGCUUGGACCCUGUCGCACCACGAGGUGCUGUCGACGAAAGUCGGGUUGUUUGGGAAUGCAGCCCCAAUCGAAGCGGUAAAUUCCGUCAAAAGGCUAAAUAUGGGCGAGACCGAGAGCUUAGCGAACAAGUACCGCGACGGAAAGAUGAAAAGGACUUUGAAAAGAGAGUCAAAGAGUGCUUGAAAUUGCCGAGGGAAGCAGAUGGGGCCGGCGAUGCAUCUUGGUCGGAUGCGGAAUGGCGGUUAGCCGUCCGCCGCUUCGGCUUCGGGUGCGGAUCGAUGCGGGCUGCAUCGACGGCCGGCCCUCGGAUCAUUCGCUCGAGGGGAUACCGCCGAUGCGGUCGAGGACAUGACGCUAGCGCCAUUAUCGCGUACCCCACGGGUACACGUGCGACCUAGGGCAUCGGCCGUGGGCUCCCCAUCCGACCCGCCUUGAAACACGGACCAAGGAGUCCGACAUGCAUGUGAGUCGAUGGGUGCAAAACCCGAAAGGCACAAAGGAAGCUAACGGGCGGGGAACCCUCUCGAGGGUUGCACCGCCGCGACCCCGAUCUUCUUCAGGAAGUGUUCGAAGUUGGAGCAUGCAUGUCGGGACCCGAAAGAUGGUGAACUAUGCCUGAAGCGAGGUGAAGCCGAGGAAACUCGGUGGAGGCCCGGCGAUCUUGGCGACGCGUAAAUCGCUCGUUUGACAUGGGUAUAGGGGCGAAAAGACUAAUCGAACCAUCUAGUAGUCUGGUUCCCUCAAGAUAGCCGGAGCCCACGUAUGAAGUUCUAUCGGGUAAAGCCAAUGAUUAGAGGCAUCGGGGCAAACGCCCUCGACCUAUUCUCAAACUUUAAAUAGGUAGGACUACGCUGCCGCUUUUGAGAGCGCCGCGGAAUCGAGAGCUCCAAGUGGGCCAGUUUUGAUAAGCGAACUAGCGAUGGGGAUGAACCGGAAGCCGGGUUACGGUGCCUAACUGCGGCGCUAACCCGAGACACCACAAAGGGUGUUGGUCGAUUAAGACAGCAGGACGGUGGUCAUGGAAGUCAAAAUCCGCUAAGGAGUGUGUAACAACUCACCUGCCGAAUCAACUAGCCCCGAAAAUGGAUGGCGCUGAAGCGCGCGACCCACACCCGGCCAUCGGGGCAAGUGCCAAGCCCCGAUGAGUAGGAGGGUGCAGCGGUCGCCGCAAAACCCAGGGCGCGAGCCGAGGCGGAGCGGCCGUCGAUGCAGGUCUUGGUGGUAGUAGCAAAUAUUCAAAUGAGAACUUUGAAGGCCGAAGAGGGGAAAGGUUCCAUGUGAACGGCACUUGCUCAUAGGUUAGCCGAUCCUAAGGGAUGGGGGAAGCCCGUCCGAGAGCGUGUCUCCGCACGAGCUCCGAAAGGGAAUCGGGUUUAAAUUCCCGAGGCGGGAUGCGGCGGCGGACGACAACGUUAGGAAGUCCGGAGACGCCGACGGGGGCCCCGGGAAGAGUUAUCUUUUCUGCUUAACGGCCCGCCCACCACCGAAACGGCUCAGCCAGAGGUAGGGUCCAGCGGUCGGAAGAGCGCCGAUGUGUCGCGGGCGGCGUCGGUGCACCCCGUGACCCUUGAAAAUCCGGAGGACCGAAAAGCACCCGCCCCGGUCGUAUUUCAUAACCGCAUCAGUCUCCAAGGUGAACAACCUCGCCCAUGGAGCAAUGUAGGCAAGGGAAGUCGGCAAAACGGAUCCGUAACCGGAAAAAGAUUGGCUCACGAGGGUCUGGCACGGGUGUCCCGCCCCAAACCCGCUCGGUUGUCGGCGAUCUGCUCGAAGCUACUCUCGUGGAGAGAUGGUCGCCGCGUCGGGACGCUGGAUCGGACCGAAACGGCCCCCCUGGGGCCUUCCCCGCAUCAAUAGCCGACUCUUAAACGGUACGGACAAGGGGAAUCCACUGUUUAAUUAAAACAAAGCAUUGCGAUGGUCCCCGGAUGCUCACGCAAUGUAAUUUCUGCCCAAAGUGCUCAAUGUCAAAGUGAAGAAAUUCAACCAAGCCGGUAAACGGCGGGAGUAACUAUGACUCUCUUUAAGGUAGCCAAAUGUCUGGCCAUCUAAUUAGUGACGCGCAUGAAUGGAUUAACGAGAUUCCCACCGUCCUUGUCUACUAUCCAAAUGAAACCACGCCAAGGGAACGGGCUUAGCAAAUCGGCGGGGAAAGAAGACCGUUGAGCUUGACUCUAGUCCAACUUUAUGAAAUGACUUGAGAGGUGUAGGAUAAGUGGGAGCCGGUUCACCGGCGGAAGUGAAAUACCACUACUUUUAACGUUAUUUUACUUAUUCCGUGAGUCGGAGGCGGGGCCCUAGCUCCUUUUGAUCCAAGGCCCGCCGCUUUAGCGGGCCGAUCCGGCGGAAGACAUUGUCGUGGGAAGUUUGGCUGGGGUGGCACAUCUGUUAAAAGAUAACGCAGGUGUCCUAAGAUGAGCUCAACGAGAACAGAAAUCUCAUGUGGAACAAAAAAAGGGUAAAAGCUCGUUUGAUUCUCGAUUUCCAGUCAUGAAUAACCGUGAAAGCAUGGCCUAUUGAUCCUUUAGACCUUCGAAUUUGAAGCUAGAGGUGUCACAAAAGUUACCACAGGAUAACCGGCUUGUGGCAGCCAAGCGCUCAUAGCGACGUUGCUUUUUGAUCCUUUGAUGUCGGCUCUUCCUAUCAUUGUGAAGCGUAAUUCACCAAGUGUUGGAUUGUUCACCCACCAAUAGGGAACGUGAGCUGGGUUUAGACCAUCGUGAGACAAAGUUAGUUUUACCCUAUUGAUGAUCGUGCCAUGAUAGUAAUUCAACCUAGUACGCGAGAGGAACCGUUGAUUCACACAAUUGGUCAUCGUUUUGGUUGAAAAGCCGCUGGCGAAGUUACCAUGUGUCGGAUUAUGAUCAACGCCUCUAAGUCGAAUCCUUAGCUAGCAACCGGCGCUCUCCGUCGUUAAGCCUCCCGACCCAUAGUAGGGGCCUUUGGCCCCCAUGGGCUCGUGUCACCGCAGUAGCCCCAUGGUGGUAUAGCCCCCCGGGCGGACAUCGGAAGUGAAAUUC